UGGGGAAUUUUCCACAAUGGGCGAAAGCCUGAUGGAGCAACGCCGCGUGUGUGAUGAAGGUUUUCGGAUCGUAAAGCACUUUCGACCGGGACGAAAAACCUCUGGCUAACAUCCAGGGGCCUGACGGUACCGGGAGAAGAAGCACCGGCUAACUCUGUGCCAGCAGCCGCGGUAAUACAGAGGGUGCAAGCGUUGUUCGGAAUUAUUGGGCGUAAAGCGCGUGUAGGCGGCUUUGCAAGUCAGAUGUGAAAGCCCUCGGCUUAACCGAGGAAGUGCGUCUGAAACUGCAGAGCUUGAGUGUCGGAGAGGAUGGCGGAAUUCCGCAAGUAGAGGUGAAAUUCGUAGAUAUGCGGAGGAACACCGGUGGCGAAGGCGGCCAUCUGGACGACUACUGACGCUGAGACGCGAAAGCGUGGGGAGCAAACAGGAUUAGAUACCCUGGUAGUCCACGCUGUAAACGAUGAGAACUAGGUGUCGUGGGUGUUGACCCCCGCGGUGCCGCAGCUAACGCAUUAAGUUCUCCGCCUGGGAAGUACGGCCGCAAGGCUAA
RNAcentral lists this ribosomal RNA (550 nucleotides) under uncultured bacterium. RNAcentral describes it as "bacterial SSU rRNA". It matches the Rfam family "Bacterial small subunit ribosomal RNA", at positions 355 to 897 of the family's 1533-position model. The record is from RNAcentral.